AAAUCAUUCCCGGAGAUACCUUGGCCUAGGCAUCUGACCGAGACCACCAAGGUUGUUAAAUGUCUUUACAUCCGAAAUUCUAGCCAUGCCUUGGCGUUGGCUGAGUCUCACUCUCACGCCGUGGUCUACGUGAAGUGCACUCAAAUCUUUACCUCUAAAAAAACCCUCCACACGGCUCUCCGAUCGAGGUAAGCUAUAUUUGAUUCUGUGCCCCCUCUCUUAGGUUGGUCCACAGAACCUCCACUGUAGGGAUUAUGGAUUAUUUUAUCUACCACCUGAUUUAUAAAAUCUUUAUCUGCAUGACAUGGUAAUUUAUCGCAAUCUAGCCUCUC
RNAcentral lists this long non-coding RNA (332 nucleotides) under Theobroma cacao (cacao). RNAcentral's name for it is "long non-coding RNA (TCAC_LNC001203)". Lineage: Eukaryota; Viridiplantae; Streptophyta; Magnoliopsida; Malvales; Malvaceae. The record is from RNAcentral.